GACGAACGCUGGCGGCGUGCUUAACACAUGCAAGUCGAACGGAAAGGCCCUGCUUUUGUGGGGUGCUCGAGUGGCGAACGGGUGAGUAACACGUGAGUAACCUGCCCCUGACUUUGGGAUAACUUCAGGAAACUGGGGCUAAUACCGGAUAGGAGCUCCUGCUGCAUGGUGGGGGUUGGAAAGUUUCGGCGGUUGGGGAUGGACUCGCGUUGUAUCAGCUAGUUGGUAGGGUAGUAGCUUACCAAGGCGUUGACGCAUAGCUGGCCGGAGAGGAUGAUCGGCCAGAAUUGGAGUGAGACACGGCCCAGACUGCUACGGGAGGGAGCAGUGGGGAAUAUUGUAGACUGGGGCAAAGCCUGAUCCAGCAAUGCCGCGUGAGUGAUGAAGGCAGUAGGGUUGUAAAGCUCUUUUACCCGGGAUGAUAAUGACAGUAACGGGAGAAUAAGCUCCGGCUAACUCCGUG
This 463-nucleotide ribosomal RNA is filed under the name uncultured bacterium. RNAcentral's name for it is "partial 16S ribosomal RNA". It matches the Rfam family "Bacterial small subunit ribosomal RNA", at positions 28 to 507 of the family's 1533-position model. The record is from RNAcentral.